Molecule: ribosomal RNA, 222 nt
Filed under: Triticum aestivum (bread wheat)
Lineage: Eukaryota; Viridiplantae; Streptophyta; Magnoliopsida; Poales; Poaceae
Description: partial small subunit ribosomal RNA
Source: RNAcentral
AUGAAGUUGUCAAAGGAGGAAGGUGGGCUAGGAUUUCGGGACCUGCACUCCUUCAACAUGGCCAUGUUGGCUCGGCAAGGAUGGCGAUUACUCCAGGCACCAGACUCACUUUGUGCGCGAGUGUUGCGAGCCAAGUACUACCCAAGUGGGAGUUUGCUAGAUGCUGAACCAGUAACGGGAAUGAGUUAUGUGUGGCGGAGUGUUCUCAAAGGUCUGGAAGUA